ACGAACGCUGGCGGCGUGCUUAACCCAUGCCAGUCGCACGCUGAAGCCAGCUUGCUGGUGGAUUAGUGGCGAACGGGUGAGUAACACGUGGGUGAUCUGCCCCAAACUUUGGGAUAAGCCUGGGAAACUGGGUCUAAUACCGAAUAUGACCGAUACUCGCAUGGGUGUUGGUGGAAAGCUCCGGCGGUUUGGGAUGGGCCCGCGGCCUAUCAGCUUGUUGGUGGGGUAAUGGCCUACCAAGGCGACGACGGGUAGCCGGCCUGAGAGGGCGACCGGCCACACCGGGACUGAGACACGGCCCAGACUCCUAUGGGAGGCAGCAGUGGGGAAUAUUGCACAAUGGGCGCAAGCCUGAUGCAGCGACGCCGCGUGAGGGAUGACGGCCUUCGGGUUGUAAACCUCUUUCACCAGGGACGAAGCGAAAGUGACGGUACCUGGAGAAGAAGCACCGGCCAACUACGUG
This 463-nucleotide ribosomal RNA is filed under the name uncultured bacterium. RNAcentral's name for it is "partial 16S ribosomal RNA". It matches the Rfam family "Bacterial small subunit ribosomal RNA", at positions 29 to 507 of the family's 1533-position model. The record is from RNAcentral.